GAUGAAGAACGCAGCGAAAUGCGAUAAGUAAUGUGAAUUGCAGAAUUCAGUGAAUCAUCGAAUCUUUGAACGCACAUUGCGCCCCUUGGUAUUCCGAGGGGCAUGCCUGUUCGAGCGUCAUAUUAACCACUCCCUCUUGCGGGGUCUUGGGCUUCGCCUCCGGGCGGGCCUUAAAAUCAGUGGCGGUGCCGUCGGGCUCUACGCGUAGUAAAUUUUCUCGCGAUAGGGUCCCGGUGGAUGCUUGCCAACAACCCCCAACUUCUUAAGGUUGACCUCGGAUCAGGUAGGGAUACCCGCUGAACUUAAGCAUAUCAAUAAGCGGAGGA
This 326-nucleotide unclassified non-coding RNA is filed under the name soil metagenome. Its description in RNAcentral is "partial contains 5.8S ribosomal RNA, internal transcribed spacer 2, and large subunit ribosomal RNA". The stretch from base 1 to 120 matches the Rfam family "5.8S ribosomal RNA", at positions 35 to 154 of the family's 154-position model. The record is from RNAcentral.